UGAGAGACCUGCCCUGUGAAAAGCAGAGACCACGAUUGGGAGCGUCUCCAGGCGCUGCGGACACACUGGCCGAGGCGCUGGUCAGCUUCCUGGAAAAACUGGGGUCCGUCCAGAUAUCCUUCAGUGAAUAAAUGUUGGUUACAUGCACACCAUGGAAUAUUCCUCAGCAAUGAAAAGGAGCAAACUAUUGAUACAGGCAACAACUUGGAUGAAUCUCCAGAGCAAUAAAUAGGCUGAGUGAAAAACAGCCAGUCCCCUA
Non-coding RNA from Odocoileus virginianus texanus, 259 nucleotides. The record is from RefSeq and is a predicted model, not a curated record. NCBI's taxonomy places the organism in Eukaryota, Metazoa, Chordata, Mammalia, Artiodactyla, Cervidae.